AAAUGACGGUACCUGACUAAGAAGCACCGGCUAAAUACAUGCCAGCAGCCGCGGUAAUACGUAUGGUGCAAGCGUUAUCCGGAUUUACUGGGUGUAAAGGGAGCGUAGACGGAUGGGCAAGUCUGAUGUGAAAACCCGGGGCUCAACCCCGGGACUGCAUUGGAAACUGUUCAUCUAGAGUGCUGGAGAGGUAAGUGGAAUUCCUAGUGUAGCGGUGAAAUGCGUAGAUAUUAGGAGGAACACCAGUGGCGAAGGCGGCUUACUGGACAGUAACUGACGUUGAGGCUCGAAAGCGUGGGGAGCAAACAGGAUUAGAUACCCUGGUAGUCCACGCCGUAAACGAUGACUACUAGGUGUCGGGUGGCAAAGCCAUUCGGUGCCGCAGCAAACGCAAUAAGUAGUCCACCUGGGGAGUACGUUCGCAAGAAUGAAACUCAAAG
RNAcentral lists this ribosomal RNA (440 nucleotides) under uncultured bacterium. Its description in RNAcentral is "bacterial SSU rRNA". It matches the Rfam family "Bacterial small subunit ribosomal RNA", at positions 467 to 906 of the family's 1533-position model. The record is from RNAcentral.